This 1321-nucleotide ribosomal RNA is filed under the name Streptomyces zingiberis. RNAcentral describes it as "partial 23S ribosomal RNA". It matches the Rfam family "Bacterial large subunit ribosomal RNA", at positions 1635 to 2925 of the family's 2925-position model. Lineage: Bacteria; Bacillati; Actinomycetota; Actinomycetes; Kitasatosporales; Streptomycetaceae. The record is from RNAcentral.
CGGCGGCCCGUACCCUAAACCGACUCAGGUGGUCAGGUAGAGAAUACCGAGGCGUUCGGGUGAACUGUGGUUAAGGAACUCGGCAAAAUGCCCCCGUAACUUCGGGAGAAGGGGGGCCAUGGCUGGUGAUGGAGUUUUCCUCCUGAGCUGGUGGUGGCCGCAGAGACCAGCGAGAAGCGACUGUUUACUAAAAACACAGGUCCGUGCGAAGCCGUAAGGCGAUGUAUACGGACUGACGCCUGCCCGGUGCUGGAACGUUAAGGGGACCGGUUAGCUGCUCUUCGGGGUGGCGAAGCUGAGAACUUAAGCGCCAGUAAACGGCGGUGGUAACUAUAACCAUCCUAAGGUAGCGAAAUUCCUUGUCGGGUAAGUUCCGACCUGCACGAAUGGCGUAACGACUUCUCGACUGUCUCAACCACAGGCCCGGUGAAAUUGCACUACGAGUAAAGAUGCUCGUUUCGCGCAGCAGGACGGAAAGACCCCGGGACCUUUACUACAGCUUGAUAUUGGUGUUCGGUUCGGCUUGUGUAGGAUAGGUGGGAGACUGUGAAGCCUGGACGCUAGUUCAGGUGGAGUCGUCGUUGAAAUACCACUCUGGUCGUGCUGGAUGUCUAACCUGGGUCCGUGAUCCGGAUCAGGGACAGUGUCUGGUGGGUAGUUUAACUGGGGCGGUUGCCUCCUAAAGGGUAACGGAGGCGCCCAAAGGUUCCCUCAGCCUGGUUGGUAAUCAGGUGGUGAGUGUAAGUGCACAAGGGAGCUUGACUGUGAGACUGACGGGUCGAGCAGGGACGAAAGUCGGGACUAGUGAUCCGGCGGUGGCUUGUGGAAGCGCCGUCGCUCAACGGAUAAAAGGUACCCCGGGGAUAACAGGCUGAUCUUCCCCAAGAGUCCAUAUCGACGGGAUGGUUUGGCACCUCGAUGUCGGCUCGUCGCAUCCUGGGGCUGGAGUCGGUCCCAAGGGUUGGGCUGUUCGCCCAUUAAAGCGGUACGCGAGCUGGGUUUAGAACGUCGUGAGACAGUUCGGUCCCUAUCCGCUGUGCGCGUAGGAGUCUUGAGAAGGGCUGUCCCUAGUACGAGAGGACCGGGACGGACGGACCUCUGGUGUGCCAGUUGUUCUGCCAAGGGCAUGGCUGGUUGGCUACGUUCGGGAGGGAUAACCGCUGAAAGCAUCUAAGCGGGAAGCCUGCUUCGAGAUGAGGACUCCCACCUCCAUGAGAGGGUAAGGCUCCCAGAAGACGACUGGGUUGAUAGGCCAGGUAUGGAAGACCGGUAACGGUUGGAGUUGACUGGUACUAAUAGGCCGAGGGCUUGUCCUCAGGUG